This 471-nucleotide ribosomal RNA is filed under the name uncultured organism. Its description in RNAcentral is "partial 16S ribosomal RNA". It matches the Rfam family "Bacterial small subunit ribosomal RNA", at positions 335 to 797 of the family's 1533-position model. The record is from RNAcentral.
ACUCCUACGGGAGGCAGCAGUGGGGAAUUUUGGACAAUGGGCGGAAGCCUGAUCCAGCAAUGCCGCGUGAGUGAAGAAGGCCUUCGGGUUGUAAAGCUCUUUUGUCAGGGAAGAAACGGUGAGAGCUAAUAUCUCUUGCUAAUGACGGUACCUGAAGAAUAAGCACCGGCUAACUACGUGCCAGCAGCCGCGGUAAUACGUAGGGUGCAAGCGUUAAUCGGAAUUACUGGGCGUAAAGCGUGCGCAGGCGGUUUUGUAAGUCUGAUGUGAAAUCCCCGGGCUCAACCUGGGAAUUGCAUUGGAGACUGCAAGGCUAGAAUCUGGCAGAGGGGGGUAGAAUUCCACGUGUAGCAGUGAAAUGCGUAGAUAUGUGGAGGAACACCGAUGGCGAAGGCAGCCCCCUGGGUCAAGAUUGACGCUCAUGCACGAAAGCGUGGGGAGCAAACAGGAUUAGAUACCCCGGUAGUCCCA